RNAcentral lists this ribosomal RNA (429 nucleotides) under Chloroflexota bacterium. RNAcentral's name for it is "Chloroflexi bacterium partial 16S ribosomal RNA". It matches the Rfam family "Bacterial small subunit ribosomal RNA", at positions 355 to 776 of the family's 1533-position model. The record is from RNAcentral. Lineage: Bacteria; Bacillati; Chloroflexota.
UGGGGAAUAUUGCACAAUGGGCGCAAGCCUGAUGCAGCCAUGCCGCGUGUAUGAAGAAGGCCUUCGGGUUGUAAAGCACUUUCAGCGGGGAGGAAGGCGUUAAGGUUAAUAACCUUGGCGAUUGACGUUACCCGCAGAAGAAGCACCGGCUAACUCCGUGCCAGCAGCCGCGGUAAUACGGAGGGUGCAAGCGUUCAUCGGAAUUACUGGGCGUAAAGCGCACGCAGGCGGUCUGUCAAGUCGGAUGUGAAAUCCCCGGGCUCAACCUGGGAACUGCAUUCGAUACUGGCAAGCUUGAGUCUCGUAGAGGGGGGUAGAAUUCCAGGUGUAGCGAUGAAAUGCGUAGAGAUCUGGAGGAAUACCGGUGGCGAAGGCGGCCCCCUGGACGAAGACUGACGCUCAGGUGCGAAAGCGUGGGGAGCAAACAGG